CCUACGGGAGGCUGCAGUAGGGAAUCUUCCACAAUGGGCGAAAGCCUGAUGGAGCAACGCCGCGUGGGUGAAGAAGGUCUUCGGAUCGUAAAACCCUGUUGUUAGAGAAGAAAGUGUGUGAGAGUAACUGUUCACGUUUCGACGGUAUCUAACCAGAAAGCCACGGCUAACUACGUGCCAGCAGCCGCGGUAAUACGUAGGUGGCAAGCGUUAUCCGGAUUUAUUGGGCGUAAAGGGAACGCAGGCGGUCUUUUAAGUCUGAUGUGAAAGCCUUCGGCUUAACCGGAGUAGUGCAUUGGAAACUGGGAGACUUGAGUGCAGAAGAGGAGAGUGGAACUCCAUGUGUAGCGGUGAAAUGCGUAGAUAUAUGGAAGAACACCAGUGGCGAAGGCGGCUCUCUGGACUGUAACUGACGCUGAGGUUCGAAAGCGUGGGUAGCAAACAGGAUUAGAUACCCCUGUAGUC
This 465-nucleotide ribosomal RNA is filed under the name uncultured bacterium. RNAcentral describes it as "partial 16S ribosomal RNA". It matches the Rfam family "Bacterial small subunit ribosomal RNA", at positions 338 to 795 of the family's 1533-position model. The record is from RNAcentral.